RNAcentral lists this ribosomal RNA (216 nucleotides) under Triticum aestivum (bread wheat). RNAcentral describes it as "partial small subunit ribosomal RNA". Lineage: Eukaryota; Viridiplantae; Streptophyta; Magnoliopsida; Poales; Poaceae. The record is from RNAcentral.
AUGUCACAUUCCGUAAAAAUUUACGAUACAUGUAUAGGAUGCACUCAAUGUGUACGAGCUUGUCCAACAGAUGUAUUAGAAAUGAUACCCUGGGAUGUAUGUAAAGCCAAGCAAAUUGCUUCCGCGCCGAGAACCGAAGAUUGUGUGGGUUGUAAGAGAUGUGAAUCUGCCUGCCCGACAGAUUUUUUUAAGUGUCCGCGUUUAUUUAGGGCCUGA